This 507-nucleotide ribosomal RNA is filed under the name uncultured bacterium. RNAcentral's name for it is "bacterial SSU rRNA". It matches the Rfam family "Bacterial small subunit ribosomal RNA", at positions 35 to 524 of the family's 1533-position model. The record is from RNAcentral.
CGAGCUGGCGGCAUGCCUAUAAUGCNAGUCGAGCGGAAUGACGAGAGCUUGCUCUCUGAUUUUAGCGGCGGACGGGUGAGUAACACGUGGGCAACCUGCCCUACAGAUGGGGAUAACUCCGGGAAACUGGGGCUAAUACCGAAUAAUCAGUUUGUCCGCAUGGACAAACUCUGAAAGACGGUUUCGGCUGUCACUGUAGGAUGGGCCCGCGGCGCAUUGGCUAGUUGGUGGGGUAAUGGCCUACCAAGGCAACGAUGCGUAGCCGACCUGAGAGGGUGAUCGGCCACACUGGGACUGAGACACGGCCCAGACUCUUACGGGAGGCAGCAGUAGGGAAUCUUCCACAAUGGACGAAAGUCUGAUGGAGCAAUGCCGCGUGAGCGAAGAAGGUUUUCGGAUCGUAAAGCUCUGUUGUAAGGGAAGAACACGUACGGGAGUAACUGCCCGUGCCAUGACGGUACCUUAUUAGAAAGCCACGGCUAACUACGUGCCAGCAGCCGCGGUAAU